This 472-nucleotide ribosomal RNA is filed under the name uncultured bacterium. RNAcentral's name for it is "partial 16S ribosomal RNA". It matches the Rfam family "Bacterial small subunit ribosomal RNA", at positions 28 to 507 of the family's 1533-position model. The record is from RNAcentral.
GACGAACGCUGGCGGCGUGCUUAACACAUGCAAGUCGAACGCUGAAGCUUGGUGCUUGCACUGGGUGGAUGAGUGGCGAACGGGUGAGUAAUACGUGAGUAACCUGCCCUUGACUCUGGGAUAAGCCUGGGAAACUGGGUCUAAUACUGGAUACGACAUGUCACCGCAUGGUGGUGUGUGGAAAGGGGUUUACUGGUUUUGGAUGGGCUCACGGCCUAUCAGCUUGUUGGUGGGGUAAUGGCUCACCAAGGCGACGACGGGUAGCCGGCCUGAGAGGGUGACCGGCCACACUGGGACUGAGACACGGCCCAGACUCCUACGGGAGGCAGCAGUGGGGAAUAUUGCACAAUGGGCGGAAGCCUGAUGCAGCGACGCCGCGUGAGGGAUGACGGCCUUCGGGUUGUAAACCUCUUUCAGCACGGAAGAAGCGAAAGUGACGGUACGUGCAGAAGAAGCGCCGGCUAACUACGUG